AUAUCAAUCUGCAAGCCUUGUCUUGAUCAGCUUAUUAUUAUGACAACUUACUGAAACAGGCUUUUUAAAUUUACUUGUCAAUUUUGGUAGCGAGAAGAUUUAUCUUGACUAGUGGCAUUUAAAGACCUUUCAAUUUGUUUGUUGUAACUCACUUGCUAGGCAGUGAGCAGAUCACAGGUUCCCUAUCUGAUUCUGAUGUAAGCUUAUCAACUUCAAAGCUCUAAAUCAAAGCCAGACCAGGAAGGACUGGAAUUCCAUAGCAGCUGGGGCCAAGGCCUAGCUAUUAAAUAAACAUUAACCUUGCAGUUGUUUAGCACAAGAUUCAACAUAUAAAUUGGAAAAGCAACAUAAAUUCCAAUUAUGAAGCAGCUUGUACCAAAUGCAAUUGAUUUGAAAAUUUAAUAAAUUACCUUAACUUCAUCCACAUCAACAGCCAGAAACAGGACAUCUGGAUAAGCUGAGGCUAAUUCCUCAAAGAAAGGGUUCAUGGCCACCGAGGGAAUACACCAUGAAGCAGUAAAGUGCACAACAAUCUUUUAAUUGGUUACCAAUUACUGUGACUGGAAGACCAAUAUUAGAUUGCAACUCCAUGAAAUCAAAGGGGGUGAUCUGAGGAGGGCAGGCUUGAUUGUUGGCUUGGGUAACAUAGAAGUCCCAUGACUCUACCGAGUCCACCUUUACAACUCUUGAUUUAGUUUGCUGGUCUUGAGUCUCUAUCUCUUCCCCUUUCUUCUUCAUCUUGUGGUGGUUUCUUUUCUCCUUCCCUAGAGAAGUUUGUAAUUCUUGUUCUAGAUUAUAGAAACUAGUAUAUCUUUCUUGCUUCUUUGGUCUACCAGAAGAUCAGAUUAACCCAAAAUAUGAAUGGCUUCCUAUACGACCAACUUGUGUCCCCGGACCUAUCUAAGCCUAGCUGGAAAGAGUAGAGACAAUAUGUCCAUUGUCAGGGUAAAAGCACAUGAGAACUAUUGGUUUCAAACUAAUUAUGGAAUCAAUGACCGAUGCUCAUCCUGAC
This 1012-nucleotide unclassified non-coding RNA is filed under the name Hevea brasiliensis (rubber tree). Lineage: Eukaryota; Viridiplantae; Streptophyta; Magnoliopsida; Malpighiales; Euphorbiaceae. The record is from RNAcentral.